UGGGGAAUAUUGCACAAUGGGGGAAACCCUGAUGCAGCAACGCCGCGUGAAGGAAGACGGUUUUCGGAUUGUAAACUUCUGUUCUUAGUGAAGAUAGUGACGGUAGCUAAGGAGCAAGCCACGGCUAACUACGUGCCAGCAGCCGCGGUAAUACGUAGGUGGCAAGCGUUGUCCGGAAUUACUGGGUGUAAAGGGAGCGCAGGCGGGGAGCCAAGUCAGCUGUGAAAACUACAGGCUUAACUUGUAGACUGCAGUUGAAACUGGUUUUCUUGAGUGAAGUAGAGGUUGGCGGAAUUCCGAGUGUAGCGGUGAAAUGCGUAGAUAUUCGGAGGAACACCGGUGGCGAAGGCGGCCAACUGGGCUUUAACUGACGCUGAGGCUCGAAAGUGUGGGGAGCAAACA
RNAcentral lists this ribosomal RNA (402 nucleotides) under uncultured bacterium. RNAcentral's name for it is "bacterial SSU rRNA". It matches the Rfam family "Bacterial small subunit ribosomal RNA", at positions 355 to 774 of the family's 1533-position model. The record is from RNAcentral.